AGAGUUUGAUCAUGGCUCAGCCUGAACGCUGGCGGCGUGGCUAAGACAUGCAAGUCGUACGGUGUAGCAAUACACAGUGGCGAACGGGUGAGUAAUGAAUCGCUAACGUGCCCCGGGACUCUGGGAUAGCUUUCCGAAAGGGAAGGUAAUACCAGAUGAGACCACGAACAGGCAUCUGUUUGUGCUCAAAGGUCCGCCGGUCUGGGAGCGGGCGAUUUCGUAUCAGCUAGUUGGUGAGGUAACGGCUCACCAAGGCGACGACGCGUAGCCGGACUGAGAGGUUGGCCGGCCACAUUGGGACUGAGACACUGCCCAGACUCCUACGGGGGGCUGCAGUAACGAAUCUUCCGCAAUGCACGAAAGUGUGACGGAGCGACGCCGCGAUGUGGGACGAAGUUCUUCGGAAUGUAAGACCACUGUCAGGGGUAAGAAAGUUCUGAUCUACCCCAGAGGAAGGCACGGCUAACUCUGUGCCAGCAGCCGCGGUAAGACAGAGGUGCCGAGCGUUAGGCGGAAUCACUGGGCUU
This 527-nucleotide ribosomal RNA is filed under the name uncultured bacterium. RNAcentral's name for it is "bacterial SSU rRNA". It matches the Rfam family "Bacterial small subunit ribosomal RNA", at positions 8 to 561 of the family's 1533-position model. The record is from RNAcentral.